This is a long non-coding RNA of Daphnia magna, 2444 nucleotides long. RefSeq lists it as uncharacterized. The record is from RefSeq and is a predicted model, not a curated record. The transcript is spliced from 5 exons. Lineage: Eukaryota; Metazoa; Arthropoda; Branchiopoda; Diplostraca; Daphniidae.
UUUUAUUUGUCACCGUGUUUUCUAAUUUCGUCCCUGCUGUUGUUAAAAAUCGAUUAACAAAAACCACGGCACGCUAUUCUUUGAUGGUGGACGUUCGCUUGGUCAUGGUCGCAUGCCAAAUGACCCAACUGCUCUCAGGUUCGACCUUGGCAAUUUCCUAGAGGGCUAACAACAUACCGGCAUCACUUAUGGAUUUAUCUUAUUUAAUCAACGCUAGAGAAAUAUUUAAAAAAACAAGUGACGGAAGAUUCUCUGGAAAUAUUAUUAGGAAGGGCAGUCAGUACAAUCACACGGUUGAACCAAAGCGUGUGCCAAGAAAACACGACCAAGGCUACAAUGACGUCCUCGACUGGACCAACAACAUACGAAAGAAAAAAGGUGGCAGUAGGCGAAUCCAUACUUUGUAUUUUACUAUCAGUUACAAAUAAGGAGAAACUUUAAUUGAUCACGAUGGAACCAUGGGACAUCGUGCUAUUAUACUUGGUGAAUGAUGGUUGGACAGCCUGCAAAACACGUAAAGGGAAGUAGUUUUUUUUUCCUGAAAUUUAUUAUUUGCUGUGUAUAUAUUAAAACUUACGACAGAUUUCACAAUGCUUCUCGUCUGUAUUAUCACCACAUCCGUCCUGGCCUGUGCAUAGGACCUGUAUAUAGGAAAAUGAUAUUACGCUAACAUUCCAUUCACGCUUUAUAGUUUUCUGUUUUUAGUUACAGCUGCACUUCUGCAUCUUCCAUUGGCGCAUUUGACGGGGCAAUACUCGCCGGACUUCUUUUUCCGAUAUUCCCGUUUGCAUGCUUUUUCUGGCUCAUCGCUACCAUCACUACAGUCAACAAUCGAAUUGCAAAAAGCGUGUUCCGGUACGCAGGUUCCGUCGUUACAUUUAAAACUGUUUCCUGGGCAAUCUGGAGUUUGUAAAACGGUAGGAAUACGCGUAUCAGUAUUACCGGUUUCAAGAGAUAUUAUCUAAUUCCUCUUUACCUUCGCCAUCUUCUACCUGACAUCGAUCUUCGUCUGAUCCGUCGGCACAAUGUUGAAUUCCAUCGCAAAUAAACAUUCCCGAUAUACAAUGAGCUCCACAGGGAAAAGAACCAGUUGGACAGGGACGUUGACGACAAUCGAUUUCAUCAGAUGCAUCCUCACAAUCAGCAUGCCCGUUACAAGUUAAUGAACGGCUGAUGCAACGUCCAGAAGACCUACACUGUUUAAUUACACCGGCCACCGUUAAUUAUCCUUUGAUUCUCGAACGGAUAUGGAUAUUGUUAUUCUUGGAGCAAACCUGGAAGGUGAGAGGAUGACAACCAGUGUUGUUUCUACCGCAUUGCAUUUCACCGGCGAUACACUGACAAUAGCCGUCGAUACAGCCGGAAUUGAAAUCAGCAGCUUGACAUUGAGCCCAUGAUGUACACGGCUGGCCGAUGCUCGCUCUCUGGUUGAAAUUAAGUUGGUUCUCGUUCAAACCUGUUAAUUGACAUGUAGAAUUAACAUACAAAAUCGUGGCCAACAUUCAAAAGUAGAUGCAUUUGAAAAAAAAAAAAAAACCUUUAAGAGUGGCAACACAUCGAUUGUCGGUCCAACCGAUAGUGAAUCCGUAGUCGCAAACGCAAGUAGAGUCGUGACACAAGGAAUUUUUAAUAUGAGCUUUACAUUCGGCAGAAGUGGAACACCGUGAACCGAUAACUAAGAGAAAGAUGAAGACAAUGUGUUUUUUGUUUGAAUAGUAUCGUGUACAAUAAAUUAACAGUACCUAGUCGUGGCUUGAUGCAACUUUGGCCAAAGUGCUCAGCUGAUUCGUCGCAAUAGCAACGACCAUAUACAUUUGGAAUGAUGAACUUGCAGUAGGAAUGUUUAUCAGAUAAACGGCAUUGAUCGUCACCGAAGCAUUUGUGUCCUAAACGUGCCGCUGUGUUCAGGUAAAAAUGGAUUCAAUUUAGAUCUAACCCCAAACAAAUUUUAAUUCAAGUUGACGAACGUGGAAGACAAAGAUGACGACGAUAAGGAGCAUAGCCCCUGCUACAUUGACAUGUCCCAUCUAUGCAUCCUGAAUUGGGUACGCGUAAACUGCACUGAGAAUGAGCAAAGCAUUCAAAUCCGAGUAGAGCAGCUACAAUCAGAGCAAAACGGUUAACGGUUGUGGCAUUUUGAGCCAUGUGAAAUGGCAGACAUGUGCAGACGCCAUGAUGGCAAACGCUAUCGCGAUUUCCACGCCGACAGGCACCACUCGAAACACAAGCUUCUCCCAAGUAACGUGUACUGCUGAUGUCGUUGUGUUCAAGUGUGUACCUUUCUGUCCUGUUUGUUUCUCGUUCCACUAAUUUUCCUUUGGACAGACCUACCUACAGGUAACGAACUUUUCUUACUUGCCCAAACAUUUGAAUACAGAGUUUACAUGGUGAAAAGUGAUUAUAAUGAACUUGAAUUUUUAAAAAGCUAUUAAAACUUCUGCAAA